UCUUGGUCAUUUAGAGGAAGUAAAAGUCGUAACAAGGUUUCCGUAGGUGAACCUGCGGAAGGAUCAUUAAAGAAAUUUAAUAAUUUUGAAAAUGGAUUUUUUUGUUUUGGCAAGAGCAUGAGAGCUUUUACUGGGCAAGAAGACAAGAGAUGGAGAGUCCAGCCGGGCCUGCGCUUAAGUGCGCGGUCUUGCUAGGCUUGUAAGUUUCUUUCUUGCUAUUCCAAACGGUGAGAGAUUUCUGUGCUUUUGUUAUAGGACAAUUAAAACCGUUUCUAUACAACACACUGUGGAGUUUUCAUAUCUUUGCAACUUUUUCUUUGGGCAUUCGAGCAAUCGGGGCCCAGAGGUAACAAACACAAACAAUUUUAUCUAUUCAUUAAAUUUUUGUCAAAAACAAGAAUUUUCGUAACUGGAAAUUUUAAAAUAUUAAAAACUUUCAACAACGGAUCUCUUGGUUCUCGCAUCGAUGAAGAACGCAGCGAAAUGCGAUACGUAAUGUGAAUUGCAGAAUUCCGUGAAUCAUCGAAUCUUUGAACGCACAUUGCGCCCCUUGGUAUUCCAGGGGGCAUGCCUGUUUGAGCGUCAUUUCCUUCUCAAACAUUCUGUUUGGUAGUGAGUGAUACUCUUUGGAGUUAACUUGAAAUUGCUGGCCUUUUCAUUGGAUGUUUUUUUUCCAAAGAGAGGUUUCUCUGCGUGCUUGGGGUAUAAUGCAAGUACGGUCGUUUUAGGUUUUACCAACUGCGGCUAAUCUUUUUUUAUACUGAGCGUAUUGGAACGUUAUCGAUAAGAAGAGAGCGUCUAGGCGAACAAUGUUCUUAAAGUUUGACCUCAAAUCAGGUAGGAGUACCCGCUGAACUUAGGCAUAUCAAUAAGCGGAG
Molecule: ribosomal RNA, 878 nt
Filed under: uncultured fungus
Lineage: Eukaryota; Fungi
Description: eukaryotic LSU rRNA
Rfam family: 5.8S ribosomal RNA (bases 432-585)
Source: RNAcentral